Molecule: ribosomal RNA, 449 nt
Filed under: uncultured bacterium
Lineage: Bacteria
Description: partial 16S ribosomal RNA
Rfam family: Bacterial small subunit ribosomal RNA
Source: RNAcentral
AACGAACGCUGGCGGCAUGCCUAACACAUGCAAGUCGAACGAAGCCUUCGGGCUUAGUGGCGCACGGGUGCGUAACGCGUGGGAAUCUGCCCUUUGGUUCGGAAUAACAGUUGGAAACGACUGCUAAUACCGGAUGAUGACGAAAGUCCAAAGAUUUAUCGCCAGAGGAUGAGCCCGCGUAGGAUUAGCUAGUUGGUGUGGUAAAGGCGCACCAAGGCGACGAUCCUUAGCUGGUCUGAGAGGAUGAUCAGCCACACUGGGACUGAGACACGGCCCAGACUCCUACGGGAGGCAGCAGUGGGGAAUAUUGGACAAUGGGCGAAAGCCUGAUCCAGCAAUGCCGCGUGAGUGAUGAGGGCCCUAGGGUUGUAAAGCUCUUUUACCCGGGAUGAUAAUGACAGUACCGGGAGAAUAAGCCCCGGCUAACUCCGUGCCAGCCGCCGCCGUAA